UCCCAGACUCCUACGGGAGGCAGCAGUGAGGAAUAUUGGUCAAUGGGCUUACGCCUGAACCAGCCAAGUCGCGUGAGGGAAGACUGCCCUAUGGGUUGUAAACCUCUUUUGUCAGGGAGCAACGCCGGCUACGUGUAGCCGGACUGAGAGUACCUGAAGAAAAAGCAUCGGCUAACUCCGUGCCAGCAGCCGCGGUAAUACGGAGGAUGCGAGCGUUAUCCGGAUUUAUUGGGUUUAAAGGGUGCGUAGGCGGUCCGUUAAGUCAGCGGUAAAAUUGCGGGGCUCAACCCCGUCGAGCCGUUGAAACUGGCAGACUUGAGUUGGCGAGAAGUACGCGGAAUGCGCGGUGUAGCGGUGAAAUGCAUAGAUAUCACGCAGAACUCCGAUUGCGAAGGCAGCAUACCGGCGCCCAACUGUCGCUGAAGCACGAAAGCGUGGGUAUCGAACAGGAUUAGAUACCCCGGUACG
RNAcentral lists this ribosomal RNA (468 nucleotides) under uncultured bacterium. RNAcentral's name for it is "bacterial SSU rRNA". It matches the Rfam family "Bacterial small subunit ribosomal RNA", at positions 329 to 793 of the family's 1533-position model. The record is from RNAcentral.